UACGUAGGGACCUAGCGUUGUCCGGAAUUAUUGGGCGUAAAGCGCGUGUAGGCGGCUUGCCAAGUCUGAUGUGAAAUCCCGGGGCUCAACCCCGGAACUGCAUUGGAAACUGGCUUGCUAGAGUCCGGAAGAGGAGAUUGGAAUUCCUGGUGUAGCGGUGAAAUGCGCAGAUAUCAGGAAGAACACCCGUGGCGAAGGCGGAUCUCUGGGACGGUACUGACGCUGAGACGCGAAAGCGUGGGGAG
Molecule: ribosomal RNA, 245 nt
Filed under: uncultured bacterium
Lineage: Bacteria
Description: partial 16S ribosomal RNA
Rfam family: Bacterial small subunit ribosomal RNA
Source: RNAcentral